RNAcentral lists this ribosomal RNA (253 nucleotides) under uncultured bacterium. RNAcentral's name for it is "partial 16S ribosomal RNA". It matches the Rfam family "Bacterial small subunit ribosomal RNA", at positions 524 to 776 of the family's 1533-position model. The record is from RNAcentral.
GACAGAGGGUGCAAGCGUUGUCCGGAGUUACUGGGCGUAAAGGGCGCGGAGGCGGUCUGCGGCGUCGGCGCUGAAAGCGCCCCGCUUAACGGGGCGAGGCGUGCCGAUACGCGCAGACUUGAGGCGAGCAGAGGGUGGUGGAAUUCCGGGUGGAGCGGUGAAAUGCGUAGAGAUCCGGAGGAACGCCAGUGGGGAAGCCGGCCACCUGGGCUCGUCCUGACGCUGCGGCGCGACCGCGUGGGGAGCAAACCGG